GAUCAUGGCUCAGGAUGAACGCUAGCUACAGGCUUAACACAUGCAAGUCGAGGGGAAGCGACAUCGAAAGCUUGCUUUUGAUGGGCGUCGACCGGCGCACAGGUGAGUAACGCGUAUCCAACCUGCCCACCACUUGGGGAUAACCUUGCGAAAGUAAGACUAAUGCCCAAUGACAUCCCACGAAGGCAUCCGAAUGGGAUUAAAGAUUUAUCGGUGAUGGAUGGGGAUGCGU
This 232-nucleotide ribosomal RNA is filed under the name uncultured bacterium. RNAcentral describes it as "partial 16S ribosomal RNA". It matches the Rfam family "Bacterial small subunit ribosomal RNA", at positions 15 to 236 of the family's 1533-position model. The record is from RNAcentral.